Molecule: ribosomal RNA, 253 nt
Filed under: uncultured bacterium
Lineage: Bacteria
Description: partial 16S ribosomal RNA
Rfam family: Bacterial small subunit ribosomal RNA
Source: RNAcentral
GACGAACCGUGCGAACGUUGUUCGGAAUCACUGGGCUUAAAGGGCGCGUAGGUGGUCUGUCAAGUCAAGGGUGAAAUCUUUCGGCUCAACCGGAAAACUGCCUUCGAUACUGGCAGGCUAGAGGGAGAUAGGGGUUGCGGGAACUACCAGUGGAGCGGUGAAAUGCGUUGAUAUUGGUAGGAACGCCGGUGGCGAAAGCGCGCAACUGGACCUCUUCUGACACUGAGGCGCGAAAGCUAGGGGAGCGAACAGG